Molecule: long non-coding RNA, 231 nt
Filed under: Ursus maritimus (polar bear)
Lineage: Eukaryota; Metazoa; Chordata; Mammalia; Carnivora; Ursidae
Description: lncRNA (ENSUMAG00000021840.1)
Source: RNAcentral
CAUCAGCAGCCUGAGUGAAUCCCCAUUGCCGUGGAUGUCCUCAUGAGGCAGUUGGGAAGCCUUGGUUGAACUGUGAAGAAUGUCUUCUGGAAAGUGUUUUAGAGAGUCUACCAGCUCUUUCACAUGAGUGAACGUGUAGCAGAAGAGGGGAUCCUCUCAGUGAUUAAGAAGCUACAGUGAAUUCUCUCAUGGCCCUGAAGUGUGGUUUGUUCCCAUGGAAAAGAACCUAAC